CAGAGACUGCAAGCGUUAUUCGGAUUCACUGGGCGUAAAGGGUGCGCAGGCGGCCAUGUGUGUCAGGUGUGAAAUCCCGGGGCUUAACCCCGGAACUGCGCCUGAAACUACAUGGCUAGAGUAUUGGAGAGGGUAGCGGAAUUCACGGUGUAGCAGUGAAAUGCGUAGAUAUCGUGAGGAACACCAGAGGCGAAGGCGGCUACCUGGACAAUUACUGACGCUCAGGCACGAAAGCGUGGGGAGCAAAAGGGAUUAGAUACCCCUGUAGUCCACGCCCUAAACGGUGCACACUAGGUCUUGGCGGAUUCGACCCCACCAGGGCCCAAGCUAACGCGUUAAGUGUGCCGCCUGAGGACUACGGCCGCAAGGCUA
This 372-nucleotide ribosomal RNA is filed under the name uncultured organism. RNAcentral describes it as "bacterial SSU rRNA". It matches the Rfam family "Bacterial small subunit ribosomal RNA", at positions 526 to 896 of the family's 1533-position model. The record is from RNAcentral.